This 405-nucleotide ribosomal RNA is filed under the name uncultured bacterium. RNAcentral's name for it is "partial 16S ribosomal RNA". It matches the Rfam family "Bacterial small subunit ribosomal RNA", at positions 29 to 526 of the family's 1533-position model. The record is from RNAcentral.
AUUGAACGCUAGCGGCAUGCUUAACACAUGCAAGUCGAGCGAGUGGCGGACGGGUGAGUAAUGUAUCGGAACGUGCCCAAUGGCGGGGGAUAACUACUCGAAACGGUGGCUAAUACCGCAUACUAUUGGAUCGGCCCAUAUGGGAUUAGCUAGUUGGUGGGGUAAAGGCUCACCAAGGCGACGAUCCCUAGCUGGUUUGAGAGGACGACCAGGCAAACUGGGACGGAGAAAAGGCCCAGAAUCCUACGGGAGGCAGCAGUGGGGAAUUGUUGAACAUGGGGGAAACGCUGAGUGAGCCAGGGCGGGGGUAUUAGAAGGGCUUCGGGUUGUAAAGGACUUUUGGGAGAGAAGAGGUAUCUGAAGAAUAAGCAACGGCUAACUACGGGCCAGCAGCCGCGGUAAUAC